GAUGAACGCUGGCGGCGUGCCUAAUACAUGCAAGUCGAGCGAACAGAUGAGAAGCUUGCUUCUCUGAUGUUAGCGGCGGACGGGUGAGUAACACGUGGGUAACCUACCUAUAAGACUGGGAUAACUCCGGGAAACCGGGGCUAAUACCGGAUAAUAUGUUGAACCGCAUGGUUCAAUAGUGAAUGACGGUUUCGGCUGUAACUUAUAGAUGGACCCGCGCCGUAUUAGCUAGUUGGUAAGGUAACGGCUUACCAAGGCGACGAUACGUAGCCGACCUGAGAGGGUGAUCGGCCACACUGGAACUGAGACACGGUCCAGACUCCUACGGGAGGCAGCAGUAGGUAAUCUUCCGCAAUGGGCGAAAGCCUGACGGAGCAACGCCGCGUGAGUGAUGAAGGUCUUCGGAUCGUAAAACUCUGUUGUUAGGGAAGAACAAAUUUGUUAGUAACUGAACAAGUCUUGACGGUACCUAACCAGAAAGCCACGGCUAACUACGUGCCAGCCGCCGCCGUAA
Molecule: ribosomal RNA, 514 nt
Filed under: uncultured bacterium
Lineage: Bacteria
Description: partial 16S ribosomal RNA
Rfam family: Bacterial small subunit ribosomal RNA
Source: RNAcentral